RNAcentral lists this unclassified non-coding RNA (348 nucleotides) under soil metagenome. RNAcentral describes it as "partial contains 5.8S ribosomal RNA, internal transcribed spacer 2, and large subunit ribosomal RNA". The stretch from base 1 to 120 matches the Rfam family "5.8S ribosomal RNA", at positions 35 to 154 of the family's 154-position model. The record is from RNAcentral.
GAUGAAGAACGCAGCGAAAUGCGAUAAGUAAUGUGAAUUGCAGAAUUCAGUGAAUCAUCGAGUCUUUGAACGCACAUUGCGCCCCCCGGUAUUCCGGGGGGCAUGCCUGUCCGAGCGUCAUUGCUGCCCUCAAGCACGGCUUGUGUGUUGGGCCCCGCCCCCCGGCUCCCGGGGGGCGGGCCCGAAAGGCAGCGGCGGCACCGCGUCCGGUCCUCGAGCGUAUGGGGCUUCGUCACCCGCUCCGUAGGCCCGGCCGGCGCCCGCCGGCGACCCCCCUCAAUCUUUUCAGGUUGACCUCGGAUCAGGUAGGGAUACCCGCUGAACUUAAGCAUAUCAAUAAGCGGAGGA